CUACGGGUUGCAGCAGUGGGGAAUAUUGGACAAUGGGGGAAACCCUGAUCCAGCAAUGCCGCGUGUGAAGAAGGCCUGCGGGUUGUAAAGCACUUUCGGUUGGGAGGACUGCUUCUAGCACUAAUAUUGUUGGAAGUUGACGUUACCUUCAGAAGAAGCACCGGCUAACUCCGUGCCAGCAGCCGCGGUAAUACGGAGGGUGCAAGCGUUAAUCGGAAUUACUGGGCGUAAAGCGCGCGUAGGCGGCUAGAUCAGUCGGGUGUGAAAGCCCCGGGCUUAACCUGGGAACUGCAUCCGAUACUGUCUAGCUAGAGUACAGGAGAGGAGAGUGGAAUUCCACAUGUAGCGGUGAAAUGCGUAGAUAUGUGGAGGAACACCAAUGGCGAAGGCAGCUCUCUGGCCUGAUACUGACGCCGAGGUGCGAAAGCGUGGGGAGCAAACAGGAUUAGAUACCCUUGUAGUC
This 463-nucleotide ribosomal RNA is filed under the name uncultured bacterium. Its description in RNAcentral is "partial 16S ribosomal RNA". It matches the Rfam family "Bacterial small subunit ribosomal RNA", at positions 339 to 795 of the family's 1533-position model. The record is from RNAcentral.